UACGUAGGGGGCAAGCGUUGUCCGGAAUCAUUGGGCGUAAAGCGCGUGUAGGCGGUUCGGAAAGUCGGAUGUGAAAGCCCUGGGCUUAACCCAGGAAGUGCACUCGAAACUCCCGAACUAGAGUCCUGGAGAGGAAGGCGGAAUUCUCGGUGUAGAGGUGAAAUUCGUAGAUAUCGAGAGGAACAUCGGUGGCGAAGGCGGCCUUCUGGACAGCGACUGACGUUGAGACGCGAAAGCGUGGGGAGCAAACAGG
RNAcentral lists this ribosomal RNA (253 nucleotides) under uncultured bacterium. RNAcentral's name for it is "partial 16S ribosomal RNA". It matches the Rfam family "Bacterial small subunit ribosomal RNA", at positions 524 to 776 of the family's 1533-position model. The record is from RNAcentral.